This 88-nucleotide transfer RNA is filed under the name Sphagnum orientale. RNAcentral's name for it is "tRNA-Ser". It matches the Rfam family "tRNA". From Rfam's summary of the family: Transfer RNA (tRNA) molecules are approximately 80 nucleotides in length. Their secondary structure includes four short double-helical elements and three loops (D, anti-codon, and T loops). The record is from RNAcentral. Lineage: Eukaryota; Viridiplantae; Streptophyta; Sphagnopsida; Sphagnales; Sphagnaceae.
GGAGAGAUGGCCGAGUGGUUUAUGGCUCCGGUCUUGAAAACCGGCAUAGUUUCUCAAACUAUCGAGGGUUCGAAUCCCUCCCUCUCCU